GCUACCAUGCAGUCGAGCGAGACCUUCGGGUCUAGCGGCGGACGGGUGAGUAACGCGUGGGAACGUGCCCUUCUCUACGGAAUAGCCCCGGGAAACUGGGAGUAAUACCGUAUACGCCCUUUGGGGGAAAGAUUUAUCGGAGAAGGAUCGGCCCGCGUUGGAUUAGGUAGUUGGUGGGGUAAUGGCCCACCAAGCCGACGAUCCAUAGCUGGUUUGAGAGGAUGAUCAGCCACACUGGGACUGAGACACGGCCCAGACUCCUACGGGAGGCAGCAGUGGGGAAUCUUAGACAAUGGGGGCAACCCUGAUCUAGCCAUGCCGCGUGAGUGAUGAAGGCCUUAGGGUUGUAAAGCUCUUUCAGCUGGGAAGAUAAUGACGGUACCAGCAGAAGAAGCCCCGGCUAACUCCGUGCCAGCAGCCG
This 421-nucleotide ribosomal RNA is filed under the name uncultured bacterium. RNAcentral's name for it is "bacterial SSU rRNA". It matches the Rfam family "Bacterial small subunit ribosomal RNA", at positions 48 to 517 of the family's 1533-position model. The record is from RNAcentral.